RNAcentral lists this unclassified non-coding RNA (270 nucleotides) under uncultured Candida. RNAcentral's name for it is "sequence contains ITS1". The stretch from base 1 to 104 matches the Rfam family "5.8S ribosomal RNA", at positions 50 to 154 of the family's 154-position model. Lineage: Eukaryota; Fungi; Ascomycota; Saccharomycetes; Saccharomycetales. The record is from RNAcentral.
GAAAUGCGAUACCUAGUGUGAAUUGCAGCCAUCGUGAAUCAUCGAGUUCUUGAACGCACAUUGCGCCCUCCGGCAUUCCGGGGGGCAUGCCUGUUUGAGCGUCGUUUCCUUCUUGCGCAAGCAGAGUUGGGGUUGUCACCGUCUUUCGGUGGCUCCCCCGAAAUGGAACGAUUGCGGGCUUAGAGAGCGAACUAUAAAACGCGCGUUCUCCCCGCCGAACUUUUAAUCAAGCUCGACCUCAAAUCAGGUAGGAAUACCCGCUGAACUUAA